GACGAACGCUGGCGGCGUGCCUAAUACAUGCAAGUUGAGCGCUGAAGGUUGGUACUUGUACCAACUGGAUGAGCAGCGAACGGGUGAGUAACGCGUGGGGAAUCUGCCUUUGAGCGGGGGACAACAUUUGGAAACGAAUGCUAAUACCGCAUAAAAACUUUAAACACAAGUUUUAAGUUUGAAAGAUGCAAUUGCAUCACUCAAAGAUGAUCCCGCGUUGUAUUAGCUAGUUGGUGAGGUAAAGGCUCACCAAGGCGAUGAUACAUAGCCGACCUGAGAGGGUGAUCGGCCACAUUGGGACUGAGAAACGGCCCAAACUCCUACGGGAGGCAGCAGUAGGGAAUCUUCGGCAAUGGACGAAAGUCUGAACGAGCAACGCCGCGUGAGUGAAGAAGGUUUUCGGAUCGUAAAACUCUGUUGGUAGAGAAGAACGUUGGUGAGAGUGGAAAGCUCAUCAAGUGACGGUAACUACCCAGAAAGGGACGGCUAACUACGUG
Molecule: ribosomal RNA, 497 nt
Filed under: uncultured bacterium
Lineage: Bacteria
Description: partial 16S ribosomal RNA
Rfam family: Bacterial small subunit ribosomal RNA
Source: RNAcentral